AAACAAGUGGUAUAUAAGGGUAUGAUGUACAUUGGAACGAGGCAGUAGAAAGUAAAUGAAAUCAUGAUGCAAACAUUUUUAUUGACUAUCGAUUUUUUCUAUGUUGGCAGUUGCAUUAUCAAUCGAUGCAGAGCUAACCGAUGAAUUCGAAACAAAUAAGGACGAUCUUCAAGAUGAUAACGUAGCAAUACCAAGCACCAGGCCGAGCUUUGACAGUGAAAAAGACAAAACUGAUGAUGAUAGUGAUGUAGUCAUUUCCAUAUACAAAUAUAGCAUAUUGUAAUAUUCAAAAUGAUAUCUUUUGUAUUUUACACCCAAAAAGGAAAUAGUUAUUGUUUAUGGAACAGAAGCACCCUUGAAGGAAUUACAAGACGAAAUAAAACAGGAAGGGGAAGGCAAUGAUUGUAACGAUCACCAUAAACUAGUUUUCAAUCACAAAGAACAUGGCAAAAUAGAGCUUCACCCGCACAGAAUACCUCUUCAUCAUAAGGAACACGAUAAAAAUUACAUUCACAACCAUGGCCCGUUUCCUCAUCACAUAGAUCACGACCGAAAAGAUUUUCACAAGCAUGGACCACCACCGUCGCAUCGUAAAGAACACGACAGCAAAGUCUUUUUUAAACAUGGACCACCCCCACGGCACGAUGGGAAGCAUAAGGGUCUGGAGGAGUCAAGUAAAAUUGACGAAAUUGAUAAAAUGGUUGAAGCCAACCUCCUGUAGAAUAAAUUAAAUUUCGGAGAAUUGUAUUGUGAUCUUCUCCAACAAUAAAUGUGCUGAACAAAGAAAACAAAGUGAGAACCAGA
Nasonia vitripennis (jewel wasp) is the source of this 804-nucleotide long non-coding RNA. RefSeq lists it as uncharacterized. Lineage: Eukaryota; Metazoa; Arthropoda; Insecta; Hymenoptera; Pteromalidae. The record is from RefSeq and is a predicted model, not a curated record. The transcript has 4 exons.